GCUUACACAUGCAAGUCGAACGAUGAACCGGCUUCGGCCGGGGAUUAGUGGCGAACGGGUGAGUAACACGUGGGCAAUCUGCCCUUCACUCUGGGACAAGCCCUGGAAACGGGGUCUAAUACCGGAUACGACGCGCGACCGCAUGGUCUGUGCGUGGAAAGCUCCGGCGGUGAAGGAUGAGCCCGCGGCCUAUCAGCUUGUUGGUGGGGUAAUGGCCUACCAAGGCGACGACGGGUAGCCGGCCUGAGAGGGCGACCGGCCACACUGGGACUGAGACACGGCCCAGACUCCUACGGGAGGCAGCAGUGGGGAAUAUUGCACAAUGGGCGAAAGCCUGAUGCAGCGACGCCGCGUGAGGGAUGACGGCCUUCGGGUUGUAAACCUCUUUCAGCAGGGAAGAAGCGAGAGUGACGGUACCUGCAGAAGAAGCGCCGGCUAACUACGUGCCAGCAGCCGCGGUAAUACGUAGGGCGCAAGCGUUGUCCGGAAUUAUUGGGCGUAAAGAGCUCGUAGGCGGCUUGUCACGUCGGAUGUGAAAGCCCGGGGCUUAACCCCGGGUCUGCAUUCGAUACGGGCAGGCUAGAGUUCGGUAGGGGAGAU
This 600-nucleotide ribosomal RNA is filed under the name uncultured Streptomyces sp. Its description in RNAcentral is "bacterial SSU rRNA". It matches the Rfam family "Bacterial small subunit ribosomal RNA", at positions 46 to 661 of the family's 1533-position model. Lineage: Bacteria; Bacillati; Actinomycetota; Actinomycetes; Kitasatosporales; Streptomycetaceae. The record is from RNAcentral.